GGCUGUGGCCGCCGCAGGACGGAGGGCGCUGGCUCCUGCUGGCAGCGAGGGCAGGCGGCAGCUUGGGGCGGCCCGGCGCGUCUGGCUGGCGCGGCAGCCCCCGGCGCCCUUUUAUAGCGAACCCCCAUGGAGCGGGCAAAGCGAAGCCCGUGUAGGGGACCGGGCACAUUACACGAAGGAUGCGGGGCAAGGAAGAGGCGAGCCCUAUGCCAGGCCUGUGCCCCUGGCUCCCGCCAUGAGCAGGACAUGGGCAAGACAAGUUUUUUCCAGCGCAUCUGCACCUGAUGCCUUGUCCUGAGGCACUGUUGCUGUCGGUGUGGCAGCUGAGUGCUUGAGGAACGGUCGCAGCAAUGUCAUCAUAAAUACACACGUGCACCACACGCUGAGCUCUGUCUGGGCUGCCAGAGCCAGCCCCGCGUUAUAAACUUGUAUGAACUCAAAGCCUGUGCUCCGACAUGAAGCCAUAGUACUGCAAAGCGUGCCAACUUCACCUAUGAUAAAUAGAUAAGGCCCUCUCGGUAUUUGUGGCAUUUCCUUGCACUGUGCUGUAAUAAUAGAAAUGACCUUGGGUCUCACAAAGACCAAGGCUGUUAGCUGCGAGUUGCAUUGUGAUACCUGAGGUGAAUGGCCAUUUUUAUUAAGUAUCAUAUUAUCCUGUUCUGCUGUAGCAUAUGGGACAGACUGUCAGCAGCCAUGCUGAGUCAGAAUAAAAGUCCAUUUAGCUGGUAUACAGUAGCUGUUAGCAGUUGGGAUGAGAAAGCGUACAAGGAAAGAAUGCAAAUGGAGACUAACCCUUUCCUUGGUAUAACCUCCUUGCUUUUAGCAGGAUGAAAUUCAGGGGCUUUCCGAGCAAUAGCUGGCAUUUAGGCAAUUAUGUUGAAUAAACGCCAGUGACCCUA
Anas platyrhynchos (mallard) is the source of this 899-nucleotide long non-coding RNA. RefSeq lists it as uncharacterized. Lineage: Eukaryota; Metazoa; Chordata; Aves; Anseriformes; Anatidae. The record is from RefSeq and is a predicted model, not a curated record.